AAUCAGGCUCAGGAUGAACGCUAGCUACAGGCUUAACACAUGCAAGUCGAGGGGAAACGACAUCGAAAGCUUGCUUCCGAUGGGCGUCGACCGGCGCACGGGUGAGUAACGCGUAUCCAACCUGCCCACCACUUGGGGAUAACCUUACGAAAGUAAGACUAAUACCCAAUGAUAUCUCUAGAAGACAUCUGAAAGAGAUUAAAGAUUUAUCGGUGAUGGAUGGGGAUGCGUCUGAUUAG
Molecule: ribosomal RNA, 239 nt
Filed under: uncultured bacterium
Lineage: Bacteria
Description: partial 16S ribosomal RNA
Rfam family: Bacterial small subunit ribosomal RNA
Source: RNAcentral